GGGAAACCAUUAAGUUAUUGGGUUCUGGGGGGAGUAUGGUCGCAAGGCUGAAACUUAAAGGAAUUGAUGGAAAGACACCACCAGGAGUGGAGUUUGCGGCUUAAUUCGACUCAACGCGGGAAAACUCACCAGGACAGGACAGUGUCGAGAUUGACAGGUGAAAGAGUCCUUUCUCGAUUUACUGGUUGGUGGUGCAUGGUCGUUCUUAGUUCGUGGAGUGAUCUGUCUACUUAAUUGUGCCAACGAACGAGACCUUGACCUAUUAGUUAGCAAGGCAAUAACAGGUCUGUGAUGCCCA
RNAcentral lists this ribosomal RNA (298 nucleotides) under uncultured eukaryote. RNAcentral's name for it is "partial 18S ribosomal RNA". It matches the Rfam family "Eukaryotic small subunit ribosomal RNA", at positions 1092 to 1473 of the family's 1831-position model. The record is from RNAcentral.